CGGGGUGAGUAAUGUCUGGGAAACUGCCCGAUGGAGGGGGAUAACUACUGGAAACGGUAGCUAAUACCGCAUAACGUCGCAAGACCAAAGAGGGGGACCUUAGGGCCUCUUGCCAUCGGAUGUGCCCAGAUGGGAUUAGCUAGUAGGUGGGGUAAUGGCUCACCUAGGCGACGAUCCCUAGCUGGUCUGAGAGGAUGAUCAGCCACACUGGGACUGAGACACGGCCCAG
RNAcentral lists this ribosomal RNA (229 nucleotides) under uncultured bacterium. Its description in RNAcentral is "partial 16S ribosomal RNA". It matches the Rfam family "Bacterial small subunit ribosomal RNA", at positions 104 to 334 of the family's 1533-position model. The record is from RNAcentral.